GCAUCUCUUUGGAUUUACAGUUGUUUAUAGCAAAAGAAAAAAAAUCUUUGUUUUUCUUUUUUCUUCUUUUUAUUUAAACAACAGGAAAAGACUCACGUUCGCAAUGCGCAAAGCAUUAGAAAGAUACCGGUAGAAGACGCAGCUCGCCGGCGCCCUUUGCAGAAGAUGCUGGGAAAUGUAGUUCCUGUCGGCCGCGUGCGCAGGCGUACUUCUUGGCUUGAGAACCUCAUCGCCCGACAGUGCUCUUUAUUUUUCCGUGGAGCAGGUCUCUACUUACUUCUAUAAGAUGGCAUCAAGAAGAAGGACCUGACCACUGGCCCCUGACUACAUGGUCUUUGGUGUCUUUAUAGGGAAACUUCAGUAUUGCUUCCGUAUAUCCUCAACAGGUAAGUAGUAGACACCAAAUAAUAAACUUUUCGCCACUCUUGAGCCUGGAAUUCUG
RNAcentral lists this long non-coding RNA (442 nucleotides) under Piliocolobus tephrosceles (Ugandan red Colobus). RNAcentral's name for it is "lncRNA (ENSPTEG00000004091.1)". Lineage: Eukaryota; Metazoa; Chordata; Mammalia; Primates; Cercopithecidae. The record is from RNAcentral.